GUACACGCUGUGACUAGCAUAUCAAUAAGCGGAGGAAAAGAAACUAACAAGGAUUCCCUUAGUAACGGCGAGUGAAGCGGGAAGAGCUCAAAUUUGAAAUCUUCAAGGUUUUACCUUGACGAAUUGUAGUUUAAAGAAGUGUUUUCUGCUGAAGUUUUGGUAAAAGUUCUUUGGAAUAGGACAUCAUAGAGGGUGAGAAUCCCGUAUUUGACCAUUAUUUUCAGCUUUGUGAUACACUUUCAAAGAGUCGGAUUGUUUGGGAAUGCAGUCCAAAAUGGGUAGGUAAAUUUCAUCUAAAGCUAAAUAUUGGCGAGAGACCGAUAGCGAACAAGUACCGUGAGGGAAAGAUGAAAAGAACUUUGAAAAGAGAGUUAAACAGUACGUGAAAUUGUCAAAAGGGAAGCGUUUGACACCAGUGUUGUUUUCUCUCGAAAAUCAAUUAAAAAUGGCUCGAUUUUGUAUUGCUUGAGACCUUAAAAGCUCACUGUACAUUUUUCGUGUCUUUUUUAAUGCACUUUUCGUUUAACAAGUCAACAUCAGUUUCUUUUGUUGUAAAAGGGUCAUUGGAAGGUGGCUUUCUUUUCGGAGAAAGUGUUUAUAGCCUUUGGCCUCUGCAAUCGGAGAGACUGAGGUCUGCAGCGUAGACUCUUCGGGGUUAGAUACAUUUGUGCUAAGUUAUAGCUUUUUAUAGACAACUUGUUGACUAUGAUUUGUCUUGUAGCUUACUCGCUUAUGCUAUUUUACCUACGCUUAGGAUGUUGAGCGCAUGUCUCUCUCU
Molecule: ribosomal RNA, 778 nt
Filed under: uncultured Neocallimastigales
Lineage: Eukaryota; Fungi; Neocallimastigomycota; Neocallimastigomycetes; Neocallimastigales
Description: partial large subunit ribosomal RNA
Rfam family: Eukaryotic large subunit ribosomal RNA
Source: RNAcentral